RNAcentral lists this ribosomal RNA (319 nucleotides) under uncultured Pseudomonadota bacterium. Its description in RNAcentral is "bacterial SSU rRNA". It matches the Rfam family "Bacterial small subunit ribosomal RNA", at positions 30 to 351 of the family's 1533-position model. The record is from RNAcentral. Lineage: Bacteria; Pseudomonadati; Pseudomonadota.
AUUGAACGCUGGCGGUAUGCUUAACACAUGCAAGUCGAACGGUAACAGGCCUUCGGGCGCUGACGAGUGGCGGACGGGUGAGUAACGCGUAGGAAUCUGCCUCAUAGUGGGGGACAACGUGGGGAAACUCACGCUAAUACCGCAUACGCCCUACGGGGGAAAGCGGGGGAUCUUCGGACCUCGCGCUAUGAGAUGAGCCUGCGUUAGAUUAGCUAGUUGGUAGGGUAAAGGCCUACCAAGGCGACGAUCUAUAGCUGGUCUGAGAGGACGAUCAGCCACACUGGGACUGAGACACGGCCCAGACUCCUACGGGAGGCAG